This 492-nucleotide ribosomal RNA is filed under the name uncultured bacterium. RNAcentral describes it as "partial 16S ribosomal RNA". It matches the Rfam family "Bacterial small subunit ribosomal RNA", at positions 29 to 507 of the family's 1533-position model. The record is from RNAcentral.
AGUGAACGCUGGCGGUAGGCCUAACACAUGCAAGUCGAACGGCAGCACAGUAAGAGCUUGCUCUUACGGGUGGCGAGUGGCGGACGGGUGAGGAAUACAUCGGAAUCUACUUUUUCGUGGGGGAUAACGUAGGGAAACUUACGCUAAUACCGCAUCCGACCUACGGGUGAAAGCAGGGGACCUUCGGACCUUGCGCGAUUGAUUGAGCGGAUGUCGGAUUAGCUAGUUGGCGGGGUAAAGGCCCACCAAGGCGACGAUCCGUAGCUGGUCUGAGAGGAUGAUCAGCCACACUGGAACUGAGACACGGUCCAGACUCCUACGGGAGGCAGCAGUGGGGAAUAUUGGACAAUGGGCGCAAGCCUGAUCCAGCCAUACCGCGUGGGUGAAGAAGGCCUUCGGGUUGUAAAGCCCUUUUGUUGGGAAAGAAAAGCAGCAGGUUAAUACCCCGCUGUUCUGACGGUACCCAAAGAAUAAGCACCGGCUAACUUCGUG